This 446-nucleotide ribosomal RNA is filed under the name uncultured bacterium. RNAcentral's name for it is "partial 16S ribosomal RNA". It matches the Rfam family "Bacterial small subunit ribosomal RNA", at positions 338 to 795 of the family's 1533-position model. The record is from RNAcentral.
CCUACGGGUGGCAGCAGUCGAGAAUCAUUCACAAUGGGGGAAACCCUGAUGGUGCGACGCCGCGUGGGGGAAUGAAGGUCUUCGUAUUGUAAACCCCUUUCAUGUGGGAGCAAAUUAAAAAGUUAGUACCACAAGAGGAAGAGACGGCUAACUCCGGGCCACCAGCAGCGUUAAUACAGAGGUCUCAAGCGUUGUUCGGAAUCACUGGUCGUAAAGCGUGCGUAGGCUGUUUCGUAAGUCGGGUGUGAAAGGCGCGGGCUCAACCCGCGGACGGCACAUGAUACUGGGAGACUAGAGUAAUGGAGGGGGAAGCGGAAUUCUCGGUGUAGCAGUGAAAUGCGUAGAUAUCGAGAGGAACACUGGUGGCGAAGGCGGGUUCCUGGACAUUAACUGACGCUGAGGCACGAAGGCCAGGGGAGCGAAAGGGAUUAGAUACCCUUGUAGUC